GCACUUGUAGCUCAGCAGGAUAGAGCGUCCGCCUCCUAAGCGGAAGGUCUCGGGUUCGAAUCCCGACAAGUGUGCCA
This 77-nucleotide transfer RNA is filed under the name Clostridia bacterium. RNAcentral's name for it is "tRNA-Arg". It matches the Rfam family "tRNA". From Rfam's summary of the family: Transfer RNA (tRNA) molecules are approximately 80 nucleotides in length. Their secondary structure includes four short double-helical elements and three loops (D, anti-codon, and T loops). Lineage: Bacteria; Bacillati; Bacillota; Clostridia. The record is from RNAcentral. RNAcentral also lists the same sequence under 1 other name.